Molecule: ribosomal RNA, 381 nt
Filed under: Wolbachia endosymbiont of Maculinea alcon
Lineage: Bacteria; Pseudomonadati; Pseudomonadota; Alphaproteobacteria; Rickettsiales; Anaplasmataceae
Also listed under: 2 other names
Description: bacterial SSU rRNA
Rfam family: Bacterial small subunit ribosomal RNA
Source: RNAcentral
GUGUUGCAUGGCUGUCGUCAGCUCGUGUCGUGAGAUGUUGGGUUAAGUCCCGCAACGAGCGCAACCCUCAUCCUUAGUUGCUAUCAGGUAAUGCUGAGUACUUUAAGGAAACUGCCAGUGAUAAGCUGGAGGAAGGUGGGGAUGAUGUCAAGUCAUCAUGGCCUUUAUGGAGUGGGCUACACACGUGCUACAAUGGUGUCUACAAUGGGCUGCAAGGUGCGCAAGCCUAAGCUAAUCCCUAAAAGACAUCUCAGUUCGGAUUGUACUCUGCAACUCGAGUACAUGAAGUUGGAAUCGCUAGUAAUCGUGGAUCAGCAUGCCACGGUGAAUACGUUCUCGGGUCUUGUACACACUGCCCGUCACGCCAUGGGAAUUGGUUUC